RNAcentral lists this ribosomal RNA (251 nucleotides) under uncultured bacterium. RNAcentral's name for it is "partial 16S ribosomal RNA". It matches the Rfam family "Bacterial small subunit ribosomal RNA", at positions 524 to 776 of the family's 1533-position model. The record is from RNAcentral.
UACGUAGGGUGCAAGCGUUGUCCGGAAUUAUGGCGUAAAGAGCUCGUAGGCGGUUCGUCGCGUCGGCUGUGAAAACCUGAGGCUCAACCUCAGGCCUGCAGUCGAUACGGGCGGACUUGAGUACUGCAGGGGAGACUGGAAUUCCUGGUGUAGCGGUGAAAUGCGCAGAUAUCAGGAGGAACACCGGUGGCGAAGGCGGGUCUCUGGGCCGAUACUGACGCUGAGGAGCGAAAGCGUGGGGAGCGAACAGG